GACGAACGCUGGCGGCGUGCUUAACACAUGCAAGUCGAACGGUGAAGGGAUCAGCUUGCUGGUUCUGGAUGAGUGGCGAACGGGUGAGUAACACGUGAGUAACCUGCCCCCUUCUUCUGGAUAACCGCAUGAAAGUGUGGCUAAUACGGGAUAUUCUGCGCCUGCUGCAUGGUGGGUGUGGGAAAGAUAUUGUUUCGGUGGGGGAUGGGCUCGCGGCCUAUCAGCUUGUUGGUGGGGUGAUGGCCUACCAAGGCGGUGACGGGUAGCCGGCCUGAGAGGGUGGACGGUCACACUGGGACUGAGACACGGCCCAGACUCCUACGGGAGGCAGCAGUGGGGAAUAUUGCACAAUGGGCGCAAGCCUGAUGCAGCGACGCCGCGUGAGGGAUGGAGGCCUUCGGGUUGUGAACCUCUUUCGCAAGUGAAGCAGGCCUGUCCCUUGUGGGUGGGUUGACGGUAGCUGGAGAAGAAGCGCCGGCUAACUACGUG
RNAcentral lists this ribosomal RNA (489 nucleotides) under uncultured bacterium. RNAcentral describes it as "partial 16S ribosomal RNA". It matches the Rfam family "Bacterial small subunit ribosomal RNA", at positions 28 to 507 of the family's 1533-position model. The record is from RNAcentral.